RNAcentral lists this long non-coding RNA (1005 nucleotides) under Capsicum annuum. Its description in RNAcentral is "long non-coding RNA (CANN_LNC014840)". Lineage: Eukaryota; Viridiplantae; Streptophyta; Magnoliopsida; Solanales; Solanaceae. The record is from RNAcentral.
CUCCCUUUUUUAUAAAUAUUUGUUUCUUCUUACUUGCACCCUUUGAUUUGGGUGUUGUAGACUUUGUAGGAUUUGAGACUCUUACUUAUUUGCACUUUUACCAUAGGUAAUAAUAAUUUCAUAAUCAAUUUUCUCCUUCUUAUCUUUAUCCUCCACAUCAACUACCUUCUCAGGAGGAGAAACUAUUUUGUCACCCUCAUUCUUUUUCUUUACAUUUAUUUUUAUAGUAGUAGAUCUUUUGCUUGAUUUUAAGGCAUCACUUAGCAAAUUUUUCUUAGCCUCUCUAGUACUGUAGGACCUAUGAAUUGGCUUCUCAAAAACCAGGUCCUUUCCUAAAUACCCCCUCUUCUCCACUCUACUUCAGGAAAGAUUUGUAUGUUCAUCCUUCUCCAUGCCAUCUUAGACAAGAGGAUGAACCAGUUAUUAGGCCACCCCUGAAGACAUAAAGGUUCCAUAAUAUUUAGGACUAGGGACUUUGAAGGAGAAUCUAUAUAGAGGGGAGAAAACCUCAAGGAUCUAAGGCCAAUAUUGUUAGAUUGUCAUCCACCCAAUUAGCCCUAGCCUCGACACUGCUACAAGGGUUUCCAUGCUCUUCAGGUAAAUCUCCUUGGAAAAAAAUUUCUUUCACAUCAAGAGGUUAAAUCAUUGCAAGGGGAACUACCCCUUUGAAACUUCAGGUUAGGUACUAGACUGAAGAGGAGGACUGGAUAAUGAGGCUUUAAGGUGUACAAUCACAAAAGAUAAAGACAAAGAUUUUUAUUUUGGAGAGGUUGUUUCAACUAUUUUUAAGUCAAUAGGUAGUGGAUAAGCAUGUGAAAUGAGCACUUCUUCACCGAUGGGUGAUUUGAAAGGGCCCUUAGUGACAAAAUUUUGGUGGACGAGUUUCUUCAUAAAAAGGGUUUUCAAAAGAAGGUUAGGGAUUUUUUGUAAAGGGUUCAAUGAGAGGAAUAUUUUCCUUAAAGGAGUCUUGAUCAGUGAGAAAGUAAGAGAUAUUUUUUGUUUUUG